RNAcentral lists this long non-coding RNA (233 nucleotides) under Mytilus galloprovincialis (Mediterranean mussel). Lineage: Eukaryota; Metazoa; Mollusca; Bivalvia; Mytilida; Mytilidae. The record is from RNAcentral.
UAUGAACAUACAUUUAGUGUACAUGUAUUAUGAACAUUCCAGUCAGGAGCCUGUAAUUCAGUGGUUCAGUGAUAUUUGUUUUUCGUACAUUUUUUGUACAUAAAUAAGGCUGUUAGUUUUCUCAUUUGAAUUGUUUUACAUUGUCAUUUCUGGGCCUUUUAUAUCAGACUAUGCAGUAUCGGCUUUUGCUUAUUGUUGAAGGCCGUUAGGUGACCUUUAAAUGUUAAUUUCGG